RNAcentral lists this ribosomal RNA (383 nucleotides) under uncultured Gammaproteobacteria bacterium. RNAcentral describes it as "bacterial SSU rRNA". It matches the Rfam family "Bacterial small subunit ribosomal RNA", at positions 350 to 725 of the family's 1533-position model. The record is from RNAcentral. Lineage: Bacteria; Pseudomonadati; Pseudomonadota; Gammaproteobacteria.
AGCAGUGGGGAAUAUUGCACAAUGGGCGCAAGCCUGAUGCAGCCAUGCCGCGUGUGUGGGGAAGGCCUUCGGGUUGUAAAGCACUUUCAGUAGGGAGGAAAGGUGCAAGAUUAAUACUCUUGUGCUGUGACGUUACCUACAGAAGAAGCACCGGCUAACUCCGUGCCAGCAGCCGCGGUAAUACGGAGGGUGCAAGCGUUAAUCGGAAUUACUGGGCGUAAAGCGCGCGUAGGCGGCUUGUUAAGCCAGAUGUGAAAGCCCCGGGCUUAACCUGGGAACUGCAUUUGGAACUGGCAGGCUAGAGUACAGAAGAGGGUGGUGGAAUUUCCUGUGUAGCGGUGAAAUGCGUAGAUAUAGGAAGGAACACCAGUGGCGAAAGCGGC